Molecule: long non-coding RNA, 308 nt
Filed under: Homo sapiens (human)
Lineage: Eukaryota; Metazoa; Chordata; Mammalia; Primates; Hominidae
Description: non-protein coding lnc-TCF7L2-6:1
Source: RNAcentral
GUUCCCAGCUUUUGAAAACCAAGAGGCAAAAACCUGUUCUUCAAGAAAAAAAAAAUCUUAUCAGUCUUCAUCAUACCUUAGCUUCUGAAAUACAUGAAACCAGAGCCUCUCUUGGCUUGGCCAGAUGCCUCGUCUUGUCUGAGAGGCGGACGGUAGCGUUAUCACUCAGGGUAAAAGAGCUUAUGGUAUUCGGCAGUGACAACCCCCAGUCCUCAAUGGCUUAACGCAAGUCCACUGGGAGUCCAGGUGCAUCUCCAGGACAGUGGCCCUUUACAUAAUGACUGCAGGAUCCAGGCAGAAGAUGUUAC